GAUGAACGCUGGCGGCGUGCCUAAUACAUGCAAGUCGAGCGAACAGAUGAGGAGCUUGCUCCUCUGACGUUAGCGGCGGACGGGUGAGUAACACGUGGAUAACCUACCUAUAAGACUGGGAUAACUUCGGGAAACCGGAGCUAAUACCGGAUAAUAUAUUGAACCGCAUGGUUCAAUAGUGAAAGACGGUUUAGCUGUCACUUAUAGAUGGAUCCGCGCCGCAUUAGCUAGUUGGUAAGGUAACGGCUUACCAAGGCGACGAUGCGUAGCCGACCUGAGAGGGUGAUCGGCCACACUGGAACUGAGACACGGUCCAGACUCCUACGGGAGGCAGCAGUAGGGAAUCUUCCGCAAUGGGCGAAAGCCUGACGGAGCAACGCCGCGUGAGUGAUGAAGGUCUUCGGAUCGUAAAACUCUGUUAUUAGGGAAGAACAAAUGUGUAAGUAACUAUGCACGUCUUGACGGUACCUAAUCAGAAAGCCACGGCUAACUACGUG
RNAcentral lists this ribosomal RNA (497 nucleotides) under uncultured bacterium. RNAcentral's name for it is "partial 16S ribosomal RNA". It matches the Rfam family "Bacterial small subunit ribosomal RNA", at positions 28 to 507 of the family's 1533-position model. The record is from RNAcentral.